AGCCCCGACCCUGCAGCUGGGAGACGAGCCCCAGCCCCAGGAGUCCCAGGUGUUCCCAUUCUGUGAUCAGCACAGAACACACACACCUCACCAUGGAGAUUGUGCUGGGCUGGGUGUUCCUGGUUGCUCUUUUAAAAGGUGUCCAGUGUGACGAGCAGCUGGUGGAGUCUGGGGGAGACCUGGUGAAGCCUGGGGGGUCCCUGAGACUCACCUGUGUGGCCUCUGGAUUCACCUUCAGUAGCUAUGGAAUGAGCUGGGUCCGCCAGGCUCCAGGGAAGGGGCUGCAGUGGGUCUCAGAAAUUAGUUAUAAUGGAGGUAGCACAUACUACACAGACUCCGUGAAGGGCCGAUUCACCAUCUCCAGAGACAACGCCAAGAACACGCUGUAUCUGCAGAUGAACAGCCUGAAGACCGAGGACACGGCCACAUAUUACUGUGCGAAAGACACAGUAGUGACUCACUGUGCCUAUGAUUACUUCCAGCCUUGGGGCCAGGGCACCCUGGUCACCGUCUCCUCAGCCUCCACCACGGCCCCAUCGGUGUUCCCACUGGCCCCCAGCUGCGGGACCACAUCUGGCGCCACCGUGGCCAUGGCCUGCCUGGUGUUAGGCUACUUCCCUGAGCCGGUGACCGUGUCCUGGAACUCCGGCGCCCUGACCAGCGGUGUGCACACCUUCCCGUCCGUCCUGCAGGCCUCGGGGCUCUACUCUCUCAGCAGCAUGGUGACAGUGCCCUCCAGCAGGUGGCUCAGUGAGACCUUCACCUGCAACGUGGACCACCGGCCCAGCAACACCAAGGUGGACAAGACCGUGCCCAAACCCUGCAAGUGUCCCAAAUGCCCAGCUCCUGAGAUUCCUGGGGGACCGUCUGUCUUCAUCUUCCCCCCAAAACCCAAGGACACCCUCUCGAUUUCCCGGACGCCCGAGGUCACGUGCUUGGUGGUGGACUUGGGCCCAGAUGACUCCAAUGUUCAGAUCACAUGGUUUGUGGAUAACACCGAGAUGCACACAGCCAAGACGAGUCCGCAUGAGGAGCAGUUCAACAGCACCUACCGUGUGGUCAGUGUCCUCCCCAUCCUGCACCAGGACUGGCUCAAGGGGAAGGAGUUCAAGUGCAAGGUCAACAGCAAAGCCCUCCCCUCCCCCAUCGAGAGGACCAUCUCCAAGGCCAAAGGACAGCCCCACGAGCCCCAGGUGUACGUCCUGCCUCCAGCCCAGGAGGAGCUCAGCAGGAACAAAGUCAGUGUGACCUGCCUCAUCGAAGGCUUCUACCCGCCUGACAUUGCCGUCGAGUGGGAGAUCACCGGACAGGCAGAGCCAGAGAACAACUACCGGACGACCCCGCCCCAGCUGGACAGCGACGGGACCUACUUCCUGUACAGCAGGCUCUUGGUGGACAAGUCCCGCUGGCAGAGGGGAAACAUCUACACCUGCUCGGUGUCACACGAAGCUCUGCACAGCCACCACACACAGAAAUCCCUCACCCAGUCUCCGGGUAAAUGAGCAGCGCGCCCGGCCCCCCAGCAGGCCCCCGCGGGCUCUGAGCGCCCACCCCUGUGUACAUCCCCCCCGGGCAGGCACCCUGCGUGAAAUAAAGCGCCCAGCACUGCCCUGGGACCUGUGA
Non-coding RNA from Prionailurus viverrinus (fishing cat), 1623 nucleotides. The record is from the annotation of a RefSeq genome assembly. NCBI's taxonomy places the organism in Eukaryota, Metazoa, Chordata, Mammalia, Carnivora, Felidae.